GACGAACGCUGGCGGCGUGCUUAACACAUGCAAGUCGAACGGAAAGGCCCUGCUUUUGUGGGGUGCUCGAGUGGCGAACGGGUGAGUAACACGUGAGUAUCCUGCCCUUGACUUUGGGAUAACUUCAGGAAACUGGGGCUAAUACCGGAUAGGAGCUCCUGAUGCAUGGUGGGGGUUGGAAAGUUUCGGCGGUUGGGGCUGGACUCGCGGCUUAUCAGCUGGUUGGUGGGGUAGUGGCUUACCAAGGCUUUGACGGGUAGCCGGCCUGAGAGGGGGACCGGCCACAUUGGUACUGAGAUACGGACCAGACUCCUACGGGAGGCAGCAGUGGGGAAUAUGGCACAAUGGGGGGAAGCCUGAUGCAGCAACCCCGGGUGCGGGAAGACGGCCUUCGGGUGGUAAACCGCUUUCGCCUGUGACGAAGCGGGAGUGACGGUAAUGAGUAAAGAAGCACCGGCUAACUACGUG
RNAcentral lists this ribosomal RNA (468 nucleotides) under uncultured bacterium. Its description in RNAcentral is "partial 16S ribosomal RNA". It matches the Rfam family "Bacterial small subunit ribosomal RNA", at positions 28 to 507 of the family's 1533-position model. The record is from RNAcentral.